UACGAAGGGGGCUAGCGUUGCUCGGAAUCACUGGGCGUAAAGCGCACGUAGGCGGCUUUUUAAGUCAGGGGUGAAAUCCUGGAGCUCAACUCCAGAACUGCCUUUGAUACUGAGAGUCUUGAGUCCGGGAGAGGUGAGUGGAACUGCGAGUGUAGAGGUGAAAUUCGUAGAUAUUCGCAAGAACACCAGUGGCGAAGGCGGCUCACUGGCCCGGUACUGACGCUGAGGUGCGAAAGCGUGGGGAGCAAACAGG
This 253-nucleotide ribosomal RNA is filed under the name uncultured bacterium. RNAcentral describes it as "partial 16S ribosomal RNA". It matches the Rfam family "Bacterial small subunit ribosomal RNA", at positions 524 to 776 of the family's 1533-position model. The record is from RNAcentral.